CAAUAGCGUAUAUUAAUGUUGUUGCAGUUAAAAAGCUCGUAGUUGGAUUUCUGAUGAGAGCCCUGGUCACUUUAACGAGUGUACUGAUGUGACGUCUUGUCGUUUCAUGGGGAUGCUUGCUGGUAUUAAGUUAUCGGCUUGUGGAUCCAUGUCGUUUACUGUGAAAAAAUUAGAGUGUUCAAAGCAGGCCAUCGCUGUGAAUACAUUAGCAUGGAAUAAUAAGAUAGGACUGUGGUGCUAUUUUGUUGGUUUGCGUACUACGGUAAUGAUUAAUAGGGAUAGUUGGGGGUAUUCAUAUUCAAUUGUCAGAGGUGAAAUUCUUGGAUUUAUGGAAGAUGAACUACUGCGAAAGCAUUUACCAAGGAUGUUUUCAUUAA
Molecule: ribosomal RNA, 377 nt
Filed under: uncultured eukaryote
Lineage: Eukaryota
Description: partial 18S ribosomal RNA
Rfam family: Eukaryotic small subunit ribosomal RNA
Source: RNAcentral